RNAcentral lists this ribosomal RNA (252 nucleotides) under uncultured bacterium. RNAcentral's name for it is "partial 16S ribosomal RNA". It matches the Rfam family "Bacterial small subunit ribosomal RNA", at positions 57 to 305 of the family's 1533-position model. The record is from RNAcentral.
GCAAGUCGAACGGUAACAGGCAAAAGCUUGCUUUUGUGCUGACGAGUGGCGGACGGGUGAGUAACGCGUAGGAAUCUGCCUAGCAGCGGGGGACAACCUGGAGAAAUUCAGGCUAAUACCGCAUACGCCCUACGGGCGAAAGUGGGGGAUCUUCGGACCUCACACGGUUAGAUGAGCCUGCGUGAGAUUAGCUUGUUGGUGAGGUAAUGGCCUACCAAGGCGACGAUCUAUAACUGGUCUGAGAGGAUGACC